CCCACGGCAUGCUAGAAACCAGGUGAAAGAAUGCAGCCUCAUAUUCCCAUGCGUCUAUUUUAUUUUCAUGACAUAGACGCCACCUCGAGACGCAUCUGCCCAUGAUUUAGAAGGGACAAGAGAGACCAGUUCUGCUCCCAAGUACAGUCGUGGAAGGGUUUGGAUUGCCUCUGCCCAUGCAAAUGUUGUCUCGCCUGGCUGACUGCUGGCUUGAUGGAUACGGAUGGGCGAGGUGCAAGGCGUCGUUUCUGCAUUCUUGACUUCCUUCCUCCACAGUAACUUAGAUAUUUUGAUGUCAUGCAAGAUUCGGCAGCAUGCACACCCUCUUGCCAACUCGCUCGUUCUCCCUCCUUUCCUCUCAAACAACGACGGUUUGUCCAUUGUCCAUUGUGUUGCUCUUUAACAGUUGAAGUCCAUCUCUAAAGCCUUGGAAGCCGAGGAUGGCCCAGAUCCCGCAAAGGCUCAGCCAAGAAAUGCAGCCUUUCACCAGUUUCUCAGCAAGUGUUUCCCCAGUAAAGGGCGUCGUCUCCUGCUGUUUAAGACCGACGAGCCCGGGCCUCCUUCAGGGGACUGAAGAAAAGGGGAAUCAAGCUGUACCUUUAAUUCCACGAAUGCUGUUGUUCGAGAUGGAGUGAUUUAGGGCCUCGCUACCAGGGAUGGUUUCAAGGACAAAUGCUGAUAAAUCAAAUGGAAUAUAAACCAAAGGUUUGCAGUACUUUAUUUAAAGCAAAUAUGAUAUCGAUGAGAGUGUUUCUGCUGACAGAUGAAUCGGAACCUUCUUAGUAGCUGAAGUAAAAUUAAUUUCUUUCAUAUGAAAUAUCCUUCAUAUCUGCUUUUGUAUUAAUUUAUAUUUAGUAAAGAUCUUAUUCUACCCUGACGGAUAAGAGAAAUAUGACUUCUGCUGAGGUUUCAUGACCAUGGCAGCUGCAGCAUAUUUUUCUUUAAUAAAGCUUUGUAGAGAGAUUGUCAUUGAAAUCUCAUGCAUUUUUGGUUACUCUUCAGUCUUGUCUUAGAAAAUGCUAAGAAUAGCAGUAGAAAUAUUCAAUGAAAAUGCAAAGUACUUUUUAAAAGAGUGUCAACAUAAUAAUAUUCGGGGAGUUUAUUAAAAUUGUUGUACUGUCUUAGGUUUUACACAUAAGAUCUGUGCUGCUUUACUUUCAGAAGUGUCCAUGUGGCUCCAAGGACUUGCUGGAUGGUUAUUCAAUAGUUUGAGAGCACAAAAAUCCAAGAAUAGAAACUAGGAGUCUGCAUAGACAAACCCUGGAAAGUUCGACCUUGUUGAGACAAGUCACAGUUCUUUUCUUUAAGGAAAAAUGCACAGCCACUACCCCAGGGACAUUUAGUUUGACUGACAUUAUUUAUGAUGGAUCAGAGAACAGAGUACGCUGGAUGGGAAAUCUCUGCUGGACAAGAGUGCCGAGGGAGUUCCUGUCGCGGCUCCGUGGUCCCGAACCUGACUAGCAUCCAGGAGGAUGCGGGUUUGAUCCCUGGCCUCGCUCGGUGGGUUAGGGAUCCGGCGUUGUCGUAGGCUGUGGCGUAGGCUGGCAACUGCAGCUCCGACUCGACCUCUAGCCUGGGAACCUCCAUGUGCCACAGGUGCAGCCCUAAAGAAAUAGAAAAGAAAAGAGUGCUGAGUCACAUUGUCCCAUUUGUAGGUUGUGGGACGGAGGCAGGAGUUGGAGAUGGGGAGAGACAUGUCAUUCUCUCCCUUGCUUUUUGAGCUAGAAUCCUCCCUGCAUUGCUAGGUCCGCCAGAUGGGCUGAAGGCGAAACGCAAUCCCGAAGUGUUUUAUCGCCUUUCCUCUUCUGAGCCCUAGAAGGGUCGUUUAGAACAAACGCAGCCUGUGGAGGGACAAAACUCAUCUGCAGCAGAGGGAGCUGACGAUCCAGAUUAACCGUCACCAACUCCGUGUGACAGCGAUGGGUCUGGGACAUUUCUUCUAGUUGAUGGUGAGGGGGAAGAGGAGAGGUUAUGUCCAUUAUUGCUGUGAAUCCGGGUAGAGUUUCCAAAAGUGCUGUCAAAGGGGCCCCCAAGCGCCUUGGCAUCCGGUGCUUCAAGGUGGGUUGUCUGGCUGGAAAGAAUCAGCCAGCUCUCAGAGCGUCAUCCUCCAGGCAGGGAUAAGAAGGUGGGUCUCAGGACAUCCAAAGCAGCCUGGCAGGUCCCCAGCUGCAUACCUCGGAGCAGAGUCCUAGUAGGGUUCCCAGGGAAUGAGGGCACCGCCCCUCUCAGUGAACAGCAGCCGGCACUCGCCCUGGGAAUAGACUGGUCCUGCCUCUGCAGAGUCCAACACGAGAUGGGACAGGAGACCCCCAGCCCGGGAGUCCUUCUGCUGCAGCUUUGGCCGCCUUUAGCGGAGCAUGCGUUUGAAAGCUGAGAAGAGCUGCGGUAUCACUGAAUAAUAAAUGCAUUCAGUGGGACGAUUAAGUCAUUUAAAGAAAUAGAGAAACUGCCACCUAUCUAUGUAGGACUGUUAGACCAUUUCGGAUGCCACUGCUAAACUGAUGAUAAAAAAUGUGUUAGUUAUUUAAAUAAAUAUAUGGCUUGACAGU
RNAcentral lists this long non-coding RNA (2549 nucleotides) under Sus scrofa (pig). RNAcentral describes it as "lncRNA (ENSSSCG00015021852.1)". The record is from RNAcentral. Lineage: Eukaryota; Metazoa; Chordata; Mammalia; Artiodactyla; Suidae.